This 253-nucleotide ribosomal RNA is filed under the name uncultured bacterium. Its description in RNAcentral is "partial 16S ribosomal RNA". It matches the Rfam family "Archaeal small subunit ribosomal RNA", at positions 474 to 727 of the family's 1478-position model. The record is from RNAcentral.
UACCAGCACCCCGAGUGGUCGGGACGAUUAUUGGGCCUAAAGCAUCCGUAGCCGGUUCUGCAAGUCUCCCGUUAAAUCCAACUGCUCAACAGGUGGGCUGCGGAGGAUACUACAGAGCUAGGAGGCAGGAGAGGCAAGCGGUACUCAGUGGGUAGGGGUAAAAUCCGUUGACCCAUUGAAGACCACCAGUGGCGAAGGCGGCUUGCCAGAAUGCGCUCGACGGUGAGGGAUGAAAGCUGGGGGAGCAAACCGG